RNAcentral lists this ribosomal RNA (253 nucleotides) under uncultured bacterium. RNAcentral's name for it is "partial 16S ribosomal RNA". It matches the Rfam family "Bacterial small subunit ribosomal RNA", at positions 524 to 776 of the family's 1533-position model. The record is from RNAcentral.
UACGUAGGGUGCGAGCGUUAAUCGGAAUUACUGGGCGUAAAGCGUGCGCAGGCGGUUUUUCAAGUCUGAUGUGAAAGCCCCGGGCUUAACCUGGGAACUGCGUUGGAAACUGAAAGACUAGAGUGCGGCAGAGGGGGGUAGAAUUCCACGUGUAGCAGUGAAAUGCGUAGAGAUGUGGAGGAAUACCAAUGGCGAAGGCAGCCCCCUGGGAUAAUAUUGACGCUCAUGCACGAAAGCGUGGGGAGCAAACAGG